GUCUUCUUGAAUAUAUUUUGAAGUCUAACCUGCUCACUGAUUUAUUGUUAAAGAGCCGCGGUAUUUUGACCGUGCAAAGGUAGCAUAAUCAUUAGUUUCUUAAUUGGAAUCUGGAAUGAAUGGUUUGACGAAAAAUUAACUGUCUCUUGAUAAAUUUUAGAAUUUAACUUUUAAGUGAAAAGGCUUAAAUGUUUUUUAAGGACGAGAAGACCCUAUAGAGCUUAACAUUAAUUAUUUAAUAUUUUUUUAUAGUUUAUUUUUUAAUAUUUAAUUUUAAUGUUUGGUUGGGGUGACAUGAAUGAUAGUUAAACUCUUCAUUAUUAAAUCAUUAAUUUAUGUUUAUUUGAUCCAAAAUUUUUGAUCAAAAGAUUAAGUUACCUUAGGGAUAACAGCGUAAUCAUUUUUGAGAGUUCAUAUCGAUAAAGUGGUUUGCGACCUCGAUGUUGGAUUAAGAUUAGUUAUAGGUGCAGUAGCUUUUUAACUUGGUCUGUUCGACCUUUAAAUUCUU
This 508-nucleotide ribosomal RNA is filed under the name Pternoscirta sauteri. Its description in RNAcentral is "partial 16S ribosomal RNA". It matches the Rfam family "Archaeal large subunit ribosomal RNA", at positions 1911 to 2666 of the family's 2987-position model. The record is from RNAcentral. Lineage: Eukaryota; Metazoa; Arthropoda; Insecta; Orthoptera; Acrididae.